GAAGCUGACCAGACAGUCGCCGCUUCGUCGUCGUCCUCUUCGGGGGAGACGGGCGGAGGGGAGGAAAGUCCGGGCUCCAUAGGGCAGGGUGCCAGGUAACGCCUGGGGGGGGAACCCACGACCAGUGCAACAGAGAGCAAACCGCCGAUGGCCCACGCAAGUGGGAUCAGGUAAGGGUGAAAGGGUGCGGUAAGAGCGCACCGCGCGGCUGGUAACAGUCCGUGGCACGGUAAACUCCACCCGGAGCAAGGCCAAAUAGGGGUUCACAAGGUACGGCCCGUACUGAACCCGGGUAGGCUGCUUGAGCCAGUGAGCGAUUGCUGGCCUAGAUGAAUGACUGUCCACGACAGAACCCGGCUUAUCGGUCAGCUUCACUC
RNAcentral lists this RNase P RNA (377 nucleotides) under Citrobacter sp. Cpo126. RNAcentral describes it as "RNase P RNA component class A". It matches the Rfam family "Bacterial RNase P class A". From Rfam's summary of the family: Ribonuclease P (RNase P) is a ubiquitous endoribonuclease, found in archaea, bacteria and eukarya as well as chloroplasts and mitochondria. Its best characterised activity is the generation of mature 5'-ends of tRNAs by cleaving the 5'-leader elements of precursor-tRNAs. Cellular RNase Ps are ribonucleoproteins. The record is from RNAcentral. Lineage: Bacteria; Pseudomonadati; Pseudomonadota; Gammaproteobacteria; Enterobacterales; Enterobacteriaceae.